AUUUGCAUAGCUUAUAUUAAAGCAAAGCGUUGAAGGUGCUUAGAAGAUUUAUUAAUUUGUAGAUG
RNAcentral lists this transfer RNA (65 nucleotides) under Pedetontus zhejiangensis. Its description in RNAcentral is "tRNA-Phe". The record is from RNAcentral. Lineage: Eukaryota; Metazoa; Arthropoda; Insecta; Archaeognatha; Machilidae.